UACGUAGGGUGCGAGCGUUAAUCGGAAUUACUGGGCGUAAAGCGUGCGCAGGCGGUUCGUUAAGUCAGCCGUGAAAGCCCCGGGCUCAACCUGGGAAUUGCGCUUGAAACUAGCGGGCUUGAGUGUGGCAGAGGGGGGUGGAAUUCCACGUGUAGCAGUGAAAUGCGUAGAGAUGUGGAGGAACACCGAUGGCGAAGGCAGCCCCCUGGGUCAACACUGACGCUCAUGCACGAAAGCGUGGGGAGCAAACAGG
Molecule: ribosomal RNA, 253 nt
Filed under: uncultured bacterium
Lineage: Bacteria
Description: partial 16S ribosomal RNA
Rfam family: Bacterial small subunit ribosomal RNA
Source: RNAcentral